UCUGUUCUCCACUCCAUUCAUCACAAUGGGGAAGAAGAAGGAGAAGAAAAUGAAGGCAAUUCCAAAUCCAAUUGAUUGUAUACCCAAAUAUUCACCCAAGAAGCUAUCCAAUCAAACCCCGCGCUGAUUUCUCUGUGCUUACAUGCACUCCCUCCUUAUUUAAUCCAGAUUCGUCGUCAUAUACACAUUCUAGAGUACUUAGAUUGUCCAAUUCCAAUGCAAAUAGUUUACAGGAGAGGGGAGUGGAAGAAAAACAAUUUUCAGCUGGUACACUGGUCCAACGUAACUAUUUCCAAAAGCAUAGAUCAGUGUGUUCAUCCGAAUUUUCUGAUGUUCUGGUUAAGGAAGUCAAGUUCCGCUGUCCAAGAUGAAAGUCUCAAUCAUGGGAUCUACAGGCAUGCUGGUAGAAAUAGGUGUCCUGAUUCUAUACAGGGAUGCUAAUAAUGAAAAAACUAACCUAAGCACGUUCCCUUUUAACGACAGAAAUUCUCUUGUAAUUCCUGGAAGUGUAAUAUGGGCUAGAACAGAUAAUCAAAUUCGGUGGCCUGUUGAGAUCAUGGAAGAAAGAUCCACAGUACCUGUUCCAGCCUCUGAUGGACAUGUUCU
This is a non-coding RNA of Cajanus cajan (pigeon pea), 606 nucleotides long. The record is from RefSeq and is a predicted model, not a curated record. Lineage: Eukaryota; Viridiplantae; Streptophyta; Magnoliopsida; Fabales; Fabaceae.